ACGUAAGAUGUGUAGUUGAUGUAAAUAUGGACAUAAAGAAAUAUGUAGGCUUUAGCUGGGCAUGCAUGGAGUGUCAGGAUGCCCACAAAGGAAUCUACGAAUAUGG
RNAcentral lists this small nucleolar RNA (106 nucleotides) under Olea europaea subsp. europaea. Lineage: Eukaryota; Viridiplantae; Streptophyta; Magnoliopsida; Lamiales; Oleaceae. The record is from RNAcentral.